Molecule: transfer RNA, 73 nt
Filed under: Paramuricea clavata
Lineage: Eukaryota; Metazoa; Cnidaria; Anthozoa; Malacalcyonacea; Plexauridae
Description: tRNA-Ser
Rfam family: tRNA
About the family: Transfer RNA (tRNA) molecules are approximately 80 nucleotides in length. Their secondary structure includes four short double-helical elements and three loops (D, anti-codon, and T loops).
Source: RNAcentral
GCCUCUGUAGCUCAGUUGGUUAGAGCGCUGCACCGGAAUCGCAGGGCCGUAGGUUCAAUUCUUACCAGAGAAC